AACGCAACCCAAUCCCCUCGUCCCGCACGCCGUGCACACUCCGGUCCCCUCAUCCCGCACGAACCCUAGAAGAGAGAUAGGAAGAUGAGAGGGAGAGAAAGGGGAGAGGAGAGGAGAGGGAGGUCCGGCAGCGGACGGGAGAAGGUGACCGGCCAGCGUCGGCCUACACCGGCGAGGCGUCGGCCUGCGCCCCGCCUCCUCGCUGCUCCGUUUACUCCACCGAUUUCUCUCCGGCUGCCGGCCUCCCAGCCCCCCCACCUCGCAAUGGCAUUUCCUAAGGAUCAGCGCGAGCAAGGCCAACAGGCGGAAGGAGCGGAUCGUGGCCUCGCACGCUGGCUCGUCAUCUGCUUUGGCACCUUUCGGAUCCGCGCUGCUGCGUGCGAUGGUUCUAAAUCAGUGCAGGACGUCGCCGCCGGAUAGUAGGGCCGACGGAUUCUUCGCAUCGGGGGCUGGCUGGCAGGGGAGGGUCAGGAGGCCGGCAUGACUUGCUAACGAGUAGAGGUUGAUUAUCUUGACAUCCUCUCCUGCGUCCACUGUCGCGCCGUUCUGCCUUCGGCGAUUAAUUGAGCCUACUUCUCCUUUCCAGGUCGGGAUGGAGCAGCAGGCAUAGAUGAAAUCUACUGCCAAUUUCUAUUGGUUGCGGCAUCUUCCGCUGAGUAACUCUACAAAACAGCCUGCUAGCAUUGAUUCUUGCAAUAAAAAAAUAAGUCUGGCAUCAUUCAUAAUAAGCUUAUAGACUUAGAUAAUUUCUUAAUCCUGCACUGGUUCUCACCAGUGAGAUUGUAGAUGUGGUAUGUUGAGAAUACCAGUGCAAUUCACAGGUCCAAAAGCUCCAUUUCUUAAUGCGUUUUUGCAGAAUGCUACCAGUAAUGUUUUUCUUUUCCUUAAUGUACAAACAUAUCUAUUAGAUAUGAUUUUGGAUCUGAACUUUUCCCUGUCUGCAGCUCACAUUGUGGUAUGGUCAUGGUACAGCAAAAGGAAAAGAUGUUUAAACUUUUUUUGGGCGUCAUACAUGAAAAGUACCUUUAUUUCCAUCGAGCUUAAUUACUAAGAAAAUGUUACCACUAUUUCCUUACUACAACAACAACGAAAAUCUUUUGGGUUUCAUCUCCAUAAGAGUGGCUGAGUUUUUACGUUGGCUCGCCAAGCCUAUCACAACCCUCCUCCUUUACCCGGGCUUGGGACCGGCUAUGUUGAGACAACAUAGGCGGAGUUACCACUAUUUCCUUACUAAUAAACCUAAAUGUUCUGAAAGUUCGGUCUUUUGCUCUCUUUGCUUAUGAAUCGGACACUUUCCCUUUCUUUAGUCCUUACACGAUUCCACCUCGCUUUGACUGCAUACUUUGAUGGUGUUUGUAGGUAUGAAGAGUGGUCAUAAUGUUACUUAAAGGAGGCCUCAACUUGCACCAAAUACAUGGGCAUGUGCAACAGCAACUUAUGUAGGUUUCUAAAAACUAAUAAAUGCUGCUCUCAAAUCAGUUAGGAGGAUGAAGGUAGUAGCUUACUGAACUCUCAUUUCCGGAAAAAUCUGGAGAUGUCUUGGUAUGGAGUUUCAUGAUCAACUUGCUCCAGAAUAGUUAGUCUCUCUAGACUAAUUGUUUGUCAGUAUCUAUUCUAUACAUGUGUUUGAUUGGUUGUGCAAACAUGCAUGCAUUGGUCUGUGUGGAAAUUGCUUUAUCCGGUCUGUUCUAUAGCAAUGUUUCUAGUGGCUGUUUAGCACAUAUAUUUAGAUAGUUGCAUACGCAUGCUUCGUUCUGCCAGAAAAUUAUCUUCCCUGAUAUGUUUUCAGAUGCUAUUUGGUAUACAUGUUUGUCUUUGUCAUCUUUAUGUUGAGUUGUGGGUUCCAAAUAUAUUUAUGAUGAUCGUUUGCAUGGUGGGUCAUGUCAGCGAUGUGCGUUGCAUAUUCAUGAUUCAAACUCUUUGUUGGGUAUAUAUCUAUAUGAAGUUGUUUUUGAAUGGCCCAUGAUUCGUUUUUUAUUAGCAUUUUAGUUUAAGCAUUUCUCCAGAGAAUCUUGAUAUCCAACUGUAUAUAUAUCCAGUCAUGUUUUUUUACUCUGACUGAUUUCUUUUUUUGUUCUGUUUUACAGUUUGUACAAUCUCUAAAGAUGGUGCUCCAUUGUUCUGUUAAUCAAGAUUUGUUCCCUCCUUUCUCACUAGCUGAUACGUGAUGACCGUUUGCAUGGGGGGUUAUGUUAACUAUAUUCUAUUCAUGAUUCAAACUGUUUGUUGGGUAAUUUAGUUUAGACAUUGUGUCCUGAGAAUCUUGAUAUCUAGCUGUAUCGGUACAAUAUAGUUUGUGAUUUUUCCCUCUGAAUUUAUAUAUCCACUCAGGUUGGGAUAGGUUAUGAGUAUUCUUAGUGUGGAAACAGCGGCAGUGCUGCACUUUCAUCAAAUGAUGAUAUGCCAACCUUGCGCCAUUUGGCUCUAUGUUACCCGAAUAAGAUAACAAAAUACACAUGCUCAAGUAUAUAUUUUCAAUACCCCCCUGAUGAUGCCUCAUUUCUUCAGAAUUUGAGGCUGUUCUUGAUAUGCCAGGUAGGUCCGGCUAUCGAGUCAACAAUUAUAUUUUGUACUGUGUGAUGAUACAUUAAUAAUCACACUUGAAUGUGUUACCUAAACCUGUCUUGCUUUUGUAUUUCAUCCUCCUUUGAACCAUCCAAUGACUUGUUCACUACAAAUGAUAAGUGUGAGGUGUACAGAAACCUGCACCUUAUAUUCCUGUCUUGCUUUUGUAUUAUAUCCCCCUUUGAACCAUCCGAUGACUUGUGCACUACAAACGAGAAGUGUGAGGUGUACAGAAACCUGCACUUCAUAUUUCUUACAUUCCUGUUUUAUUUAAUGUCUGAGCCUCUUUAUAUUGCUUACAUGUGUGAUUUAUCUAAUCUCUGAGCAAGUGUGAAUGUUUAUAAUUGGGUUAAUAAGCCCAGUUGUUUGAAGAAGCAAUUUGCAUUUCAGAUUUUAGGAUUGUACUAAUUCUUCUAUCCAUUUUUGAUUUGCCCCUGCCAUUGUAGAAGUAUGAGUGGGUUGACUUUUCUUGACGUGUAUUUUAUACAACGAGCAACUACCUUGCGCCGUCUUCCAGCCACCAACAACCCCAUGACCCUGCAUCAGGUCAAAAAAAUAUUCAAUAAUUAUUUCUUAUGCAGGGUCAUUGAAUUGUUGGCUUCAGACAUGCUGUACUGUUGGGCUUCAAGCGUACUUCGGUUCUAAACUUAUCCCUUUUCCCUUCAUUUUUCUAAGACUGUAGUGUUGGGCAUUAAGUAGGAGUAGUUACUUAUACUAAGGAGCAGAUAUGUAUGACAUGUUAAUUUCACUUAUUUUUGGAACGAAGGUCUCACUUCAUUUAUAUUAGUCCUUGACGUCUGUGUUCUUGAUUGUGCAAAAUUGUUCCUUUCUGGGUAGAUGAAAGUCCAGAUUCCACUAAAGGAAGAUUUAGUAGGCUUUCUGUUACAUGUUGCUAAAAGUAAAUGAAUCGAAUUCUUUCUGUUUUGGUUCAGGACAAAUUUGAUUUUGGGAAGACAAAGGUCUGACAAGGAUGAGAAUGGGAUACCAGAUUACACCGACGGAGGCUCGGACAUGGAUCUGCUCCUGCUCUUAGCGGGAAUACUGGAUGUUCUUGAAGCUUUGCCAUACACACGUGCUACUUUUGGCACUUGCGUGGGCUCCUGUUUGUGUCAAUGCAAUUUGCAUCUGUCAGCGGAUUAUGGCGACCUUGGUUAUUGGCCUACAGGGUGCUCCACCGAUGGUGAAAAUACCUCACAGGAUGAUGUUGGAUAUUAUUCUACAAACUUCGGGCCUACCGGUGGCUGAGUAUCGAAGCAAAAUGUGACAGUGGCAUGAUGUGGAUGAAUAUAAUUUCCAUACAUCAACAUUAUCUUUUGGAGAUAAAAUAGCCGUAUGGCUAUUACAUGAGACCAUGUCAGAAGACCCUGCUGCUAUGGAAGCAAAAUGAUUCAUGAAAUCUGCGGUGAAAACAGAGAUAAGAUACUACAAUUACAGCAGCAUUGAGAAAUCAAGGACACGAAAUGAGUCUGAAAAAUGCUAUGGGCUAAUUCGUUGUAGCUAGGCGAUGUGUGGUGGAAGCUGUACUCACAGGAAGACUAUCGUGCUAUGUAUAAACCACGUUCUACGAUUCACUUUUGUUAUGCAUAUUUACUUUCCAGUUUUAGGACUGAAAUCCAUCCAUUUUAAUGAAUUUGGUUGUAUGGGCAUUACCUAUUUGACUUAGGCUUGCUUCAUCACAUAUAGACUGCUUUUCUUUUCCCACUGCUUGUAUGACCUAAAACUAUCAUGUAUAUGAGGCAAGUUAUUAGCAAUGUUUUACAUUUUCUUA
This is a long non-coding RNA of Triticum dicoccoides, 4333 nucleotides long. RefSeq lists it as uncharacterized. NCBI's taxonomy places the organism in Eukaryota, Viridiplantae, Streptophyta, Magnoliopsida, Poales, Poaceae. The transcript has 7 exons. The record is from RefSeq and is a predicted model, not a curated record.